GAUGAACGCUGGCGGCGUGCCUAAUACAUGCAAGUCGAGCGAACAGAUGAGGAGCUUGCUCCUCUGACGUUAGCGGCGGACGGGUGAGUAACACGUGGAUAACCUACCUAUAAGACUGGGAUAAUUUCGGGAAGCCGGAGCUAAUACCGGAUAAUAUAUUGAACCGCAUGGUUCAAUAGUGAAAGACGGUUUUGCUGUCACUUAUAGAUGGAUCCGCGCCGCAUUAGCUAGUUGGUAAGGUAACGGCUUACCAAGGCAACGAUGCGUAGCCGACCUGAGAGGGUGAUCGGCCACACUGGAACUGAGACACGGUCCAGACUCCUACGGGAGGCAGCAGUAGGGAAUCUUCCGCAAUGGGCGAAAGCCUGACGGAGCAACGCCGCGUGAGUGAUGAAGGUCUUCGGAUCGUAAAACUCUGUUAUUAGGGAAGAACAAAUGUGUAAGUAACUAUGCACGUCUUGACGGUACCUAAUCAGAAAGCCACGGCUAACUACGUG
This 497-nucleotide ribosomal RNA is filed under the name uncultured bacterium. RNAcentral describes it as "partial 16S ribosomal RNA". It matches the Rfam family "Bacterial small subunit ribosomal RNA", at positions 28 to 507 of the family's 1533-position model. The record is from RNAcentral.